RNAcentral lists this transfer RNA (73 nucleotides) under Cordylochernes scorpioides. RNAcentral describes it as "tRNA-Thr". Lineage: Eukaryota; Metazoa; Arthropoda; Arachnida; Pseudoscorpiones; Chernetidae. The record is from RNAcentral.
GUAUAGAGAUUGGAAUCUAACCCACAGUGUUCCGCUUACCGGGCAGAUGCCAUGUCCACUAGGCUACCCUGUA